UGUGUUUGUGUAUAUAGUGAACACAGUGUGUGUAUUCAUUAUACACACACUGCAUUCACUAUGCACACAGUCUGC
Pelobates cultripes (western spadefoot toad) is the source of this 75-nucleotide non-coding RNA. Lineage: Eukaryota; Metazoa; Chordata; Amphibia; Anura; Pelobatidae. The record is from the annotation of a GenBank genome assembly.